GUGAAUCAUCGAAUUUUUGAACGCAAAUUGCACUCUCCUCGGAGAGUAUGCCUGUUUGAGGGUCAGCCUAUAAAAAAUCGAUAUCGUUGCUGUUUCGCGGUGGCGUUCGUCGGAAAUUGGGUAAUCUUAAAUAUUUUGGUUUUAAGCGACUUAAAAUUUUCUUUUUGGUUCCAUGAACGUUUCUAAGAUUUAUGUCUUUACACGUUUAAGGUAUCGAUUUUUAUUAGACGUGACUAUUAUAUCGGAUAGCGCUCAUAAUCUGUCAUUAACUGAUCUCAG
Molecule: unclassified non-coding RNA, 279 nt
Filed under: Glomeraceae sp.
Lineage: Eukaryota; Fungi; Glomeromycota; Glomeromycetes; Glomerales; Glomeraceae
Description: partial contains 5.8S ribosomal RNA and internal transcribed spacer 2
Rfam family: 5.8S ribosomal RNA (bases 1-65)
Source: RNAcentral